UACGUAGGUGGCAAGCGUUGUCCGGAUUUACUGGGCGUAAAGGAUGCGUAGGCGGACAUUUUAAGUCAGAAUGUGAAAUACCCGAGCUUAACUUUGGGUGCUGCAUUUGAAACUGGGUGUCUAGAGUGCAGGAGAGGUAAGUGGAAUUCCUAGUGUAGCGGUGAAAUUGCGUAGAGAUUAAGGAAGAACACCAGUGGCGAAGGCGACUUACUGGACUGUAAACUGACGUGGAGGCAAUGAAAGCGUGGGGGAGCAAACAGG
This 261-nucleotide ribosomal RNA is filed under the name uncultured bacterium. Its description in RNAcentral is "partial 16S ribosomal RNA". It matches the Rfam family "Bacterial small subunit ribosomal RNA", at positions 524 to 776 of the family's 1533-position model. The record is from RNAcentral.